AUCUUAAGGUGAAGAGAGCAGUGAUAAUUAUAGCUAUUCUGAUUGGAUUAACUUGUGGGAUGAUUUUAAUUGGCUUUUACAUUUGCAAGUGGAGAGCAUUUUAUGGAAAUCAAAUCCUUGUUUCCUACCGAUUGCAGUCCAUUCUAAGCUGGUUUUGGAAAUAGAGAUGCAGAUGAAGUUAGCUACCUUAAGGUCAGAAUUCCACUAGGAAAAAAUUACUAUGCCUGAAAAUGAGCAAAGUCAGAACUGAAAGAGCUUCUUCAGAGCUUUGGAAGGUUGCGGGUUUAGCUGUUGUUUGUGUUAUAUGUUUCACCUCUAAUGCUUUUGCAGGCAGCAAGAGCAGCUGAUUAUAUUAUUGGGAGUAAGUUGCUGAUACCUAAACCCCUCCUCUCACUUUUUGGAAACUUGACAGAACGAAUAGGGUAGAGUGAUUUCUUUGGAGAAAUUCUUGACAAUAUUUGUAGUUGAGGCCUUUAGAAUGGAAGAAUGUAUUUCACUAAUUUUUGUAUACAUUUCUUGUUUUGUAUUUAGUGAUAAAGGAAUCUGAAUUGGGCAUAAAUUAUGUUGUAAUAUGAUUUCUUAAGCCUAGACUAGUAGACUAAAUAUUUUAAUUACAUUUGA
Long non-coding RNA from Humulus lupulus (European hop), 621 nucleotides. RefSeq lists it as uncharacterized. The record is from RefSeq and is a predicted model, not a curated record. The transcript is spliced from 3 exons. NCBI's taxonomy places the organism in Eukaryota, Viridiplantae, Streptophyta, Magnoliopsida, Rosales, Cannabaceae.